This is a long non-coding RNA of Lacerta agilis (Sand lizard), 752 nucleotides long. RefSeq lists it as uncharacterized. The record is from RefSeq and is a predicted model, not a curated record. The transcript has 2 exons. NCBI's taxonomy places the organism in Eukaryota, Metazoa, Chordata, Lepidosauria, Squamata, Lacertidae.
CGCAAGUAUGUUUGCAUAGGAUUGGUGAAAGCCACUUCAUAAACUUACCUUAGAAAAUACCGAGAUAACAAAACAAUGGAACAAUUUGAAGAUCACCUAUCUCUUCAAAAAAGGUGUAUCAUUCAGCAUGGGCCAUCAAGAACACAAACUGCAAACCAACUAGUCAGCAUACAAAUCUAUGAAUUGUGACUAACUUUGGAUGAAGCUGCUCCUGUGCAAAAAUAUACUUCAUUGCUCGGUAGAAAAACACACAUUAGAAAUAAUGGAAAUACCUGAUUUACUGUAUCGUAGAGGUUGUAGAGCCAUGAUCACUGGGAGAAAGUUACUGGAGUUGAAAACAAGAGAGCUUGAGUGAUGGGGAUUGAAGCAGUGACUAUGGAGGCCAAGAGGUUUAUGAACCUGUCUUGUUUUCUGUGAUUAUGAAAAAUGAAACAUUAAAAGUUAUGUUUAUCAUGAUUGUACAGAUAAGAGCCAACCCAAAAAAUGAGUGUGCACUAAAAAAAGAGAUUCUGACUACAGUCAUACCUUGGUUGCCAAACGCCUUGGUACUUGUACAUUUCGGCUCCCAAACAAUUGGAAACUGGAAGUGAGAGUUCCGGUUUUCAAACGGUUUCAGGAGUUGAACGGACACUCGGAACGCAUUCUGUUCGAAAAUCAAGGUACAACUGUAUUAUGAGUUGGUAACUGGGACAUAGUUGCAGCAGUGCAGUUUUAUCAUCAGUCUUCCUGCAGGAAAUUAACAAUUAUCAACA